GAGCGGCGCGCUGUGCAGGCGCGUCGCUGCCCGCCGGGGCGCGG
This 44-nucleotide unclassified non-coding RNA is filed under the name Sorangium cellulosum So ce56. RNAcentral describes it as "sce_s2m_37". Lineage: Bacteria; Pseudomonadati; Myxococcota; Polyangiales; Polyangiaceae. The record is from RNAcentral.